GCUGCUGAGGAAGCUAAUUGCGAUACAUCCUGCGGUUAAGUUACUAUCUUUCUCCAUGACUGAAGAUCAUAAUUUUAUCUUCAGGCUGGGGGAAGGAGACUGACAAGGCCCCACAGAUGGGAUUCAGUUAAUGUAUGUGGGUGACCCUGACAGAGACAUCUGUUCUACAUGGCUCUCCACCUUGGCCACAGUUCAGUUUCCACUGACUUCCAUGAACUCCAUUAUGAAACCCAAGUGCGAGCCUUUCUUUGCACCGGGAGCAGCCCGUGACUCCUGAACGCAGACCUGCAGCCUCUGGAUGCCCUCGGCCUCCUCUUCGGAAACACACAGCUCUGUGGAGCAGUGACCACCUUGAGCAAAGCGCACCUCCUCCUCCAGCUUGUCCCUCCCCUGCUGAUUGACAGUCACGAGCCCUUGAAGCCAUGUAUGUUAUGGUAGCUUAAAAAUAGGGAAAGCUGAGACAAAGAGCUUUAUCGGCUCCAAAAGCCAGACAGCGCUGAUGCUUACCCUGCCUGAUGUAGUCUUUGCCAGUUGCUAAACAGCUAAAAUGAUCCAUGGUGAUCAAAGGGCAGGACCUGAAACAAGAACUUGACAUCUGACAUUUGCCAGUCCUCUUCAUGAAACGGCUGGCCCGUAGGCAGAAGCUCCUGUCUGCGCGUGCCUGCUGGAUCCCCUGCAACAAACCAUUCUGGCCUGACAGUUGUAAUAAUAAAUAUCAUAACUGGGCUGACA
Molecule: long non-coding RNA, 732 nt
Filed under: Struthio camelus australis
Lineage: Eukaryota; Metazoa; Chordata; Aves; Struthioniformes; Struthionidae
Description: lncRNA (ENSSCUG00000010584.1)
Source: RNAcentral